Molecule: long non-coding RNA, 2251 nt
Organism: Herpailurus yagouaroundi (jaguarundi)
Lineage: Eukaryota; Metazoa; Chordata; Mammalia; Carnivora; Felidae
Exons: 2
Source: RefSeq, a predicted model, not a curated record
GGAGCUGGGGUCUCUUGGGGGCGGGAAGCAGGCUGGGGACCAGGAUCUCGCGGCUGGAUUGCGUGGUCCCCAGGAAGGCAGCCCCGACACGGACCACACAGUCUCUGGGGCACCGGGUGGGACCCACACUUGCCAAGCAUCUUGAUGGCUACAUUGUAAAAAGGCGACAACGGAGACCCAAGGCUAAUUGAAGAAAAUCUUUUAUUCAACACACUGGAUACACACGCAGUCCACAUUUAAAUGUUAUCAGUGAAGUGUUUUCGCGGCUGUAAACCUGCGCCUGGGCGCACAGUAGGCCUCAGCGCCGCCGGCCCCCUGCCCAGGAGAGCUAUGCCGGUGUGGGCAGAGCCAGGGGCAGCCACGCCAGGUCGCCCUUCAGCUGCCCCCCCCCCGCUCCGUUAAAACAGACGGCAGCCCCCACCUGCACGAAGUGACAGGCAGCUGCGCCCUUGCCAAGGAAAGCAUCCCCUCUAGUGAUAGUUGGGAGAUCCUGCUUACAGCGUCCGCCUCGCCUCACCACCAAAACCCUUUGACUUGGAAACUGAUGUCUGAUUCAUUCAGCAGGGGUAGCGGACAGACUGAAUUGGGCCCACCGGAACGUGGGGAAGACCCCAGAGCACCUGCUGUCGCCCACACCCUCCAACCCCUGGCAGAAAACAGAGAAGAGGUCGUGGGAGCACACAGAAGGUGGCCGUGGACAAGCCAGGAAGAAACCAGAGCUGUGGGGACUUGGCCUGAGACUCUGGGCGUCCAGAACCCCGAGGAAUACAUUUCUGUAGGAAGCCUCCUACUGGGUGGUAUCUUGUUGCAGAGCCUCCCUGACCAAUACGGUAUCUUGUUUCCCUUUUCACGAAAUCUGCACGUGCCAAGGAUGCCCUUCGUAGAAAGCAAAUGCAGAGACAUCACUGAUGCCUGGAACCUGCCUCCUAAGAAGUGGCACUGCCUGUUCACCUGUCCGCAGGCUGCCUCUCCCGCCUCACCUCCACCACCUCCGCACUCCUGCGUGCGUGUGUGCUGGCUCACUCAGAGGCUGUGCCUGAGUCGGAGAACACCCAGCCCCUGCCCUGGCACCCUCCUCGCCCAGCACCCACCCUCCUGGCUCCCCUGUCUGACCUCUUCCCCCCGUCUCCAAGCCCCCAGCCGGCCUUCCCACUUGGUGGGCAGGCUUGCCCUCCACCUUCGGAAAGAAGGAUUUGCAGUCCUUCCUCCACCCAGCCCACCGCCCCCUCUCGGUCCCGCCAUCAGCUCACAAGCAGGCUGCAGUGUCUCAUAUCCUGUCAAGUCCCCCAGUGUCCUCCGCCCCUCUGUGCCCUCCCGUCUCUGCUCCUUUGCUGCUGAUGCCUCUCCUAGGAGCUGACCAGUCUGCCCCAAGUGCCCUCAGCUGUGCUGCCCUCACCCUGACGGGGCCAUUCUCACGGUUAGUGCGGGCCUCCUAAUUCAGCAGCCAGUCCCCACCCCAGGCUCCCACCCUCCCGAUUACCCCCCAGAAAUAGGGUCUGCCUGCUGACGAUGACAUUUGCAGUCCUGGUCCUCCCCCUGGCUGCCCACCCCCUCUGCCUCCUUUGCUUGCUCCUCCUGGCACUCCGCCUGAAGUCCUGGGGUCCCCAGGCUUGGUCCCGGCUCCCCCUUCCUGUGUGCACACUCCCUGCUGAUGGUCCUGAGACGAUCGCUUCACACUCUCUCCACGUGUCUGCUGCUGCGCUGGGAAGGGCUAUCGCGAACCCCGCAGACGGCAACGAGUUCCGGAUUCACUCCCGCCUCCCGAGGCUCACACUCCCAGGUGCCCACCUGACGAUGCAUGGAGCCCAGGCCACCUCGGGUCCUUGGCAGCCUUCUUUGUCUCUCUGCCCCAGAGGCAGCUUCACUGGCUUCUUCCGGCCCUUCCGCCUCUCACGUGCUCCUUCCUCCUUCAGACCCCCUGACCCACCGAGCACACCACCACGUCGUCUUUCCCUUCCCCUCUGCCUGUUGACCCCCCCCCCCCCGCCAGGCACACAGGUGUAGCCCGCCACCAAGAAAGAACAAAUAUGUGUUACGUGAAUAAAUAACAUGUCAGAGCCCUCGCCAUGCCCGGGUCCUGGGGGCCUGACUUUCAGAGACGCUGACUACUAACAUCACCGCUAUUAAAAGCCACGUUCAUGAAAUCAUGGGUAAAAGGGAGGCUUACUUUUUCUUGUGUGCCCUUCGUUACCUGUGGGAUGCUGUCCCAUGUCUAUGUUUCCUUUGCCAAAAUAACAAUAGCAUUCUUUAA